This 1035-nucleotide long non-coding RNA is filed under the name Mustela putorius furo (domestic ferret). RNAcentral describes it as "lncRNA (ENSMPUG00000025748.1)". The record is from RNAcentral. Lineage: Eukaryota; Metazoa; Chordata; Mammalia; Carnivora; Mustelidae.
UAACACCAUCUGCUGAAUGCCAGAACCCUAUGUAGGACACCCUGUUUACUUUAGAUUCCAUCCUCAGGCAACAAUCCAAAUGACCUAGAUUUUUCAAUAUUGAACAAUUCUGUCAUUUUAUUCAGCAAGAGCCCUCUUGAGCCAAAUCUGUCUAGUGAACAAAUGCACAGUAUGGAUUCAGAUGAGGUCACUGCUUUCUUUGAAACUUCAAGUGCAUUUAGAACUUAACCCCUGAAUUGAGCUUCCUCCAUAUAAUUAACUCUUUCUUCUCCCCCUUCUUUUAUUCAGGUUCACUGGCCCGGCAAGAUAGGAAGCAGGUCUUUAAGACCCAGUGUGCUUAACCGUACAGAGCUCUGUGCAACUUUGACUCUGUUUCUCCAGUCUGAAAAAGGGGAUAUAAACACUCACCCUCCCUUGCUCAUAGGAUGGGUUUGAAGACCAAAUGGGAUGAUGGAAGUGAAAGUAUCUUGUCAACUAUAAAUGGUUAUGCGAUCUAGUUCAACAGGUGGGACUGAGUGUGGGACUUCAGCUUACAUUAACACCACCAGACUACAACUUGGACAAGAAGGUGAAGAAUAUGUUCACUCACACUGGUUGGAUACCUGUAUAUCCCCAGGUACUAUGUGUAUGCUGUUUUGGGUAAGUAUUGGUACAGCUUCUCAAGGUGGACAUCAUCCAGGCUUGCCCUAACUCACACCUGACUGACUUGAAACCUCUACUUACUAUGCUUUUCCUUCCAGACUAAACUCCAUGUCCUGCCCAUGCCUGCUUCUGUUUAUGCCCCUGCUGACCCUGCAGGGCCUUCUGAAUCUUAUUGCAACAGAAGUAAGAGAUAAGAAGAAGGAAUGAAGUCCUUCCCCCAAGUCACAUACUCAAGGCUCUCUUCCAUCUCCCUCCCAGUCUGGUCCAAGGCCACUUUCCAGGCAUGUGGUUUUCCAGUCCAUCUUGUCUGAAAUGGAGAUGCAUGUGGUGAGAAGAGGGGUGUUUCCAGCUCUGAGUUUAAUUUGAUAGCCCACAGAGUUCAUUCACCCUGGC